AGUGAACGCUGGCGGUAGGCCUAACACAUGCAAGUCGAACGGCAGCACAGUAAGAGCUUGCUCUUACGGGUGGCGAGUGGCGGACGGGUGAGGAAUACAUCGGACUCUACUUUUUCGUGGGGGAUAACGUAGGGAAACUUACGCUAAUACCGCAUACGACCUACGGGUGAAAGCAGGGGAUCUUCGGACCUUGCGCGAUUGAAUGAGCCGAUGUCGGAUUAGCUAGUUGGCGGGGUAAGGGCCCACCAAGGCGACGAUCCGUAGCUGGUCUGAGAGGAUGAUCAGCCACACUGGAACUGAGACACGGUCCAGACUCCUACGGGAGGCAGCAGUGGGGAAUAUUGGACAAUGGGCGCAAGCCUGAUCCAGCCAUACCGCGUGGGUGAAGAAGGCCUUCGGGUUGUAAAGCCCUUUUGUUGGGAAAGAAAAGCAGCAGGUUAAUACCCCGCUGUUCUGACGGUACCCAAAGAAUAAGCACCGGCUAACUUCGUG
This 492-nucleotide ribosomal RNA is filed under the name uncultured bacterium. Its description in RNAcentral is "partial 16S ribosomal RNA". It matches the Rfam family "Bacterial small subunit ribosomal RNA", at positions 29 to 507 of the family's 1533-position model. The record is from RNAcentral.